This is a long non-coding RNA of Tympanuchus pallidicinctus (lesser prairie-chicken), 2326 nucleotides long. RefSeq lists it as uncharacterized. The record is from RefSeq and is a predicted model, not a curated record. NCBI's taxonomy places the organism in Eukaryota, Metazoa, Chordata, Aves, Galliformes, Phasianidae. The transcript has 3 exons.
GUGAGCAAGCUACAAAAGUCUGCUACAGUCAGUUGUUCUCCAAAGGAAAGCCAAGCAAAGAAACCACCAAAACUCAUUUGUCCUGAAGAAAUAUUAAUCUUUUCAGAUUACAAGGAUUGCUCUGCUGACUGAAGAGGGACUUCUUGAAUCUCUCAAUGACUCUCCUUUUCAAGUUGCACUGCAAAGCUGGAGGAAGCUACACAACACAGAGAAACAGAUGUUUUCACCACCCAAUUACACUUCCCAUAAACUGCUAAUCAGCAGUACUAUUACUGAGAAAGUAGCUACAGUGCAAGAAGAAACAUUAAUGCUUAAUAGCCUGGUAAUAGACAACAGUACAAAACCUGAUUUAAAUAUAUAUUAAAAUAAUUCUCCUUAGAUCGUUGAUUCUGUUAGGCUUGGCAGAUUAUACAACUUAGUCCUUCUGGACUAAAAGAUCAGUCUGGCUCUUGUUCCCAUGGAAACUGGACUGGGAAGGCUGCUUUGAUUGCCAAGAACUAACAGCAAAGAACUCUGCCUUGUAAAGUUCAGUUUCAAAUUGUCAGCUGAAAUAUGUAAUUGGGAGUUGUAGAAACAACUAUGUAUUAUAAAAAAUAUUUCACCUUAUAUCUGCAAGAAUCUAAGCAUUCAAAAAGCCAUUGCACAAAGGAACAAGUAGAGAUUUGGAUCCUGGUACCCCUACCUUCUAACUCUGAGACCAACUGUCACUGAAAGGUGCUACCACUGCCUCAGUGGCCAAUCUAGAUAGAGAGCCUUUGAGUUACUCUUAGUUCUCAGUUACAAGAACUGGCAUUGACGAGUACGACACUAGAGAAAAUCUUCUUCAUGAUAGAGGGUAAGUUCAUUAUUAUGCAUCGGGCACAAACGAGUAAUAUAGUAAUACAAUAAUAUAGCACAUAAAGUCUGAACUGCCUCAUUUCAGUUAGCAGGAAAUGGGCUUACUAUUGCAAUAACUUACACCAAAUCCAGUUAUUUUAAAUCACCAUUUUUUCUUUGUUAUGAUAAUUUAUUUCCUGUUAUCUUUUUCAAUAGAUCUGACAGCUUGAAGAAAAUACUCAGGACAUGUCCAAUGCAUCUAAUUCCAGUUAUGCCAUUAUGUUUUAAACAAGUUCGGCUCAGCAAUCUGAAAUGCCCUGAGGUGAUAAACAUCACUUCCAAAUACAAACCAUUCAUUUUACAAAGUAAGAAGAUGUUUAUUUAUGAACAGCAUAUUUUGCAAGUAACUGAAUGACAAUCAUCUUUCUGGCAAACAAAAGUCUUCUAUCACAUUUUUAACUGAGAGCUCAAUGCAGAUUUAUACCAGCUCCAUUUUUGUUUCGGAAUCAGCAUGAAAUAACUUUAACAUUCUUUCAUUAUUAAACAUUCAAACAAUUCUAAAAUAAGUCUGAAACUUGAAAAAAUACAUACUGACAUAUUAAAAUAUUUAAAAUUCAAUAUUUAGAAUAGUAAAUCUAGUGUAAUAUUUCUUAAGAAAUUAUUACCACAUAUUGAUAAUAGAAAUUAUUAUUUAGAAAAUACGACUAUAAAGGAAAGAAUUUUAUGUACUCUUCAUGUCAGUGUGCAGUGUUUUCACCUGAAAUGUUCAUAUUGCUGACAUGACAGAAUGUUAUAAAAAUAAAUCACCGUACAAUCCAUUUUUCUGAGGGGAACCAAUGAAUUUUUUUCAUGACUCAAUUAUUGCCAUCCUCCACACACUAAUAUUUGAGGUUAGUCUUCAUUUAAAUGAUGUAUUUUUAAAACAUCCUGCCAUCUGCAAAAAUGUCAAGUUCUGUUGUUUUUAACGAACAGCAACUAAAUUAGCAGCACUUUGACAACAGCAAAUAACUGAAAUGGAUAGAAUGUCAGAAGCAACAGUAAUGCAUACUUGAGUGAUGAAGAUAAUUUUGUGCAGCUGAAUAAGAAUCUGCUGAACAGGGUCACUGAUCUGACGCACUUUCCUUUGUGAUACAGCAAUUCCUGCCGAUGCUGUAGAUGACAACACUAAAAUCAGGACAGCUCAUUUUACUGCCUUUACAUAUUAAUAGUGAGCACUGUUUAAAACCUGCAAAUUUAAAUAUUGAGUUUUUAUGCAUGACCUGUUUUGCUAGUGGCAUUAGGAACAACAAGAACAAAAAAGAGUAAUCUGAAAACUUGUAAGUUUAGAUAAUGGAAUUAAUAAUGGGUUUCAAAGGAAAUCCCUACCUCUGAUUCAUUACACUAAAAUUUACUUUAUCUAAAAAAAAACUAUAUAUAUAUUAACAUACCUCUCUAAUAAUAAAAGUUUUUCUAUAUUUAUUCAUAAGGGAAUCUAAAGAUACUAUAAACAGAAUUUAUUUUAACAAAAUGA